ACUGCUGAGAAGAAAGGCAAGCUUCUUGAUUCCUUUCCAAAGCCAUCUCUUCCUAAUGAACUUCUUUGGACUCUUUCUUUUGGCCAAGCUCCACGGAGAAGGCAAGGCUUCCCACUGUAUGGAUGAGGAACCGGAAGCCAAAGAAAGGGGAUGCUGGGCUGUGCUCAGUGAUACCCCGAGGAUACCCAAGGGGCCUCAAAGGAGACACAGCCGGCACUGACACAUGUUCUGAGCGCCCCACUUAGCAAAGGAUGAAAGAUGGAGUUGUAACCGCUGGGAGAAACAUGUGGGGGACCUGUCACUGUGUGGAUUUCCCUUCUCAGCUGAAAGGUCUUCAAAGUGCCUGUGAGGAGCAUGCCAAGGAAAAUCAACAGCCAUUCUCCCACCGAAAUGACAGAGCAGGCAUCCUUCUUGCUCUCCUAAUUGAUAUCAUUGUGACUGCUUUUCCAUAAAAUUAUCCCCAGACAGGUUCUCAGAGCUGUCACCAAGCCAUUUGAAAUUUUGCAUGAAGCACGUCUCUGUAUGUGUUGCCUCUCUGCAUGACUUCUUUCUUUUCCUUCUUUGGGCCUGGCUUUUACAAAAUGUCUUUUGUACUCUUCACAGAAGAGAAUAACUUCUGACCUCACUGUCUGCCUGGGUCUGAUCCCUGGGCAUUUCAUUUGGCAAUCCCAGGGUAACAGUCGAAUGAUAAGAUGUAAAGGUUUUAAGAAAUGAGUCUUGGACUUCCCUGAGUCCAGUGAGAAAGGGAUUUUUCUUUGUUUUAAAGUACUCUUUCCUCCUCAGAUGUUUCUUUGGUGGAUUCUUGGAUAUCUGGAGCUCUGCUGAGCUCCCUCCUUCUUGGUUUCCUGCUCCCAACAAAUAAUAAUUAUUAUUUUUUCCAUACAAAGUGACUUUGGGGUUGUCCUUAUCUGAUGCUGAAGUUCCAAAAUGCCCAGUAUGGCACACGCUUGAGAUCUCAGCACUUGGGAGGUGAAGCAGGAGUUCAAGGUACUUAGGAAGCUCAGUACCAGCCUGGGUUAUUUGAGGCCCUGUCUCAAAACAAAAACAAAAACUGAAACAGUUCCCUCCAUAAUGAAUGCAUAGGCGACAAAAGAAUACAGUUCUACAUGGUGGUAUGAUCCACAGAAUAAAAAUAUCAGAUCCUG
Mus musculus (house mouse) is the source of this 1145-nucleotide long non-coding RNA. RefSeq annotates it as RIKEN cDNA 6330420H09 gene. Lineage: Eukaryota; Metazoa; Chordata; Mammalia; Rodentia; Muridae. The transcript has 2 exons. The record is from RefSeq and is marked validated.